This 239-nucleotide ribosomal RNA is filed under the name uncultured bacterium. Its description in RNAcentral is "partial 16S ribosomal RNA". It matches the Rfam family "Bacterial small subunit ribosomal RNA", at positions 95 to 334 of the family's 1533-position model. The record is from RNAcentral.
CCGGCGCACGGGUGAGUAACACGUAUCCAACCUGCCGUCUACUCUUGGACAGCCUUCUGAAAGGAAGAUUAAUACAAGAUGGCAUCAUGAGUCCGCAUGUUCACAUGAUUAAAGGUAUUCCGGUAGACGAUGGGGAUGCGUUCCAUUAGGUUGUUGGUGGGGUAACGGCCCACCAAGCCUUCGAUGGAUAGGGGUUCUGAGAGGAAGGUCCCCCACAUUGGAACUGAGACACGGUCCAA